RNAcentral lists this ribosomal RNA (253 nucleotides) under uncultured bacterium. RNAcentral describes it as "partial 16S ribosomal RNA". It matches the Rfam family "Bacterial small subunit ribosomal RNA", at positions 524 to 776 of the family's 1533-position model. The record is from RNAcentral.
GACGAACCGUACGAACGUUAUUCGGAAUUACUGGGCUUAAAGGGUGCGUAGGCUGCGCGGAAAGUUGGGUGUGAAAUCCCUCGGCUCAACCGAGGAACUGCGCCCAAAACUACCGUGCUCGAGGGAGACAGAGGUGAGCGGAACUUAGGGUGGAGCGGUGAAAUGCGUUGAUAUCCUAAGGAACACCCGUGGCGAAAGCGGCUCACUGGGUCUCUUCUGACGCUGAGGCACGAAAGCUAGGGUAGCGAACAGG